CCUACGGGAGGCAGCAGUGAGGAAUAUUGGUCAAUGGGCGGGAGACUGAACCAGCCAAGCCGCGUGAGGGAUGACUGUCCUAAGUAUUGUAAACCUCUUUUAUCAGGGAAUAAAGUCGAGGACGCGUACCGGUUUGCAUGUACCUUAUGAAAAAGCAUCGGCUAACUCCGUGCCAGCAGCCGCGGUAAUACGGAGGAUCCGAGCGUUAUCCGGAUUUAUUGGGUUUAAAGGGUGCGGAGGCGGGUUGUUAAGUCAGUUGGGAAAGGUCGGGGCUCAACCCCAGGACUGCAGUUGAAACUGGCAGCCUCGAGUUGGAGAGAGGUAUGCGGAAUGCGUGGUGUAGCGGUGAAAUGCAUAGAUAUCGCGAAGAACUCCGAUUGCGAAGGCAGCAUGCUGGAUUGAAACUGACGCUGAGGCACGAAAGCGUGGGUAUCGAACAGGAUUAGAUACCCUAGUAGUC
RNAcentral lists this ribosomal RNA (460 nucleotides) under uncultured bacterium. Its description in RNAcentral is "partial 16S ribosomal RNA". It matches the Rfam family "Bacterial small subunit ribosomal RNA", at positions 338 to 795 of the family's 1533-position model. The record is from RNAcentral.